RNAcentral lists this ribosomal RNA (613 nucleotides) under uncultured bacterium. RNAcentral describes it as "bacterial SSU rRNA". The stretch from base 1 to 520 matches the Rfam family "Bacterial small subunit ribosomal RNA", at positions 338 to 873 of the family's 1533-position model. The record is from RNAcentral.
CCUACGGGAGGCAGCAGUAAGGAAUCUUCCACAAUGGACGAAAGUCUGAUGGAGCAACGCCGCGUGCAGGAUGAAGGCUUUCGGGUCGUAAACUGCUUUUAUAUGGGAAGAUUAUGACGGUACCAUAUGAAUAAGGACCGGCUAACUACGUGCCAGCAGCCGCGGUAAUACGUAGGGUCCAAGCGAUAUCCGGAAUUACUGGGCGUAAAGCGUGUGUAGGUGGAUUAAUAAGUGUGAUGCGAAAUCCGGCGGCUCAACCGUUUGGACUGUGUCGCAUACUGUUAGUCUAGAGGACGGCAGAGGUAAGUGGAAUUACGGGUGUAGCAGUGAAAUGCGCAGAUAUCCGUAGGAACACCAAUGGCGAAGGCAGCUUACUGGGCCACACCUGACACUGAGACACGAAAGCGUGGGGAGCGAACAGGAUUAGAUACCCUGGUAGUCCACGCCGUAAACGAUGCAUACUAUUAGUAUGGGGUAUCGACCCCCUGUGCUGAGAAGCUAACGCGAUAAGUAUGCCGCCUGGGGGAGGUACGAGCGCGAAGACGUUAAACUUAAAUUAAGUAAGUUAGUUACGGCGUUGAGACGNGCCGACGGACGACGACGAGGGAGGAGG